AGAGUUUGAUCCUGGCUCAGGACGAACGCUGGCGGCGUGCUUAACACAUGCAAGUCGAGCGGAAAGGCCCUUCGGGGUACUCGAGCGGCGAACGGGUGAGUAACACGUGAGCAACCUGCCCCUGGCUCUGGGAUAGCUCCCGGAAACGGGGAUUAAUACCGGACAUGACUCCCUUGGGCAUCUGGGGGGGUGGAAAGUUUUUCGGCCAGGGUGGGGCUCGCGGCCUAUCAGCUUGUUGGGGGGGUGACGGCCCACCAAGGCGACGACGGGUAGCCGGCCUGAGAGGGCGACCGGCACACUGGGACUGAGAACGCCCAGACUCCUACGGGAGGCAGCAGUGGGGAAUAUUGCGCAAUGGGCGGAAGCCUGACGCAGCGACGCCGCGUGCGGGAUGAAGGCCUUCGGGUUGUAAACCGCUUUCACCAGGGACGAAGCGUGAGUGACGGUACCUGGGGAAGAAGCGCCGGCUAACUACGUGCCAGCAGCCGCGGUAAUACGUAGGGCGCAAGCGUUGUCCGGAAUUAUUGGGCGUAAAGAGCUCGUAGGCGCGCUCUGCUGUGAAAUCCGGGGCUUAACCCCGGGCGUGCAAUGGAUACGGCCGGCUGGAGCAGGCAGGGGAGAAUGGAAUUCCCGGUGUAGCGGUGAAAUGCGCAGAUAUCGGGAGGAACACCGGUGGCGAAGGCGGUUCUCUGGCCUGUACUGACGCUGAGGAGCGAAAGCGUGGGGAGCGAACAGGAUUAGAUACCCUAGUAGUCC
This 756-nucleotide ribosomal RNA is filed under the name uncultured bacterium. RNAcentral describes it as "bacterial SSU rRNA". It matches the Rfam family "Bacterial small subunit ribosomal RNA", at positions 8 to 796 of the family's 1533-position model. The record is from RNAcentral.